This 1106-nucleotide long non-coding RNA is filed under the name Myripristis murdjan (pinecone soldierfish). Its description in RNAcentral is "lncRNA (ENSMMDG00005002728.1)". The record is from RNAcentral. Lineage: Eukaryota; Metazoa; Chordata; Actinopteri; Holocentriformes; Holocentridae.
UUUGAACAAGUGCUAUCUGCAGAGGAGGUAAAAAAUAACUCACGGUGUUAUUUUAUGCAUGGUGGAUUGUUAGUCCGGAAGUGGGUGCCCCACGGGGACAGGUUCAUUGGAGACCCCAUCAUUCAGAUUGUGUUGCCUCGUAAGUAUCGUGAGUCUGUGCUGAAGCUGGCCCACGAUGAUGCUGGGCACUGGGGUGUCCGGAAAACCUACGACCGGUUGCUGCGGCAUUUCUUUUGGCCGCGUGUGAAAAAGGAUGUUGCCGCUUAUAUUAAAACUUGUCACACCUGCCAACUCACUGGUAAGCCCAACCAGGGUAUAGCACCUGCUCCUCUGUUUCCAAUUCCAGCUGUAGCGCAGCCUUUUGAACAUGUAAAAAUUGAUUGUGUGGGUCCACUCCCUCGCUCUCGUCCUGGCGCAGUUUACCUUCUCACAGUGAGGUGUCAGUCCACCAGAUACCCAGCUGCUUACCCGCUGCACACGAUUUCUGCUCCUCACUCUGCGGCAGCAGAGGUCGAGGAUGGGUUGCCUGGGCUUGAUUCUGACAGAAGUUGUUGCAGAAAUUUUUCUGAAGUGGUAGCGCCACUUACUGAUUUGCUGAAGGGUAAAGUAACUUUUGUGUUGUCCCCUGUUUGCCAACAGGCUUUUGAGCAUGUAAAAGCGCUUUUGACUAAUGCUCCAGUUUUGGCGGCCCCGCGGUUUGACCGUCCGUUCUCACUCCAAGUGGACGCUAGUCACGUGGGAGCGGGCGCAGUCCUCUUGCAAGCUGACGAUCUUGGUUUUGAGAAACCCGUGAGCUUCUUUUCAAAGAGAUCCAACUCCUACCAGUUAAACUAUUCCACGGUAGAGAAAGAAGCGCUUGCACUCAUUUGGGCCCUGAAACAUUUUGAUGUCUAUGUGGGAUGUGGUGUUGUACUUGUUGUUUACACCAACCACAAUCCCUUAACCUUCCUUAAUUCUCUGCAAUGUCCAAACCAGAGUUUAAGAAGAUGGUCUUUACUCCUGCAGUCCUACUGGCUAGACAUUAAGUUCAUCAAGGGUUCUGACAACGUGGUGGCAGACGCGCUGUCCAGAGCUCCUCAGUAGGACUGUAAUAACUGUGUAGCAAC